RNAcentral lists this small RNA (114 nucleotides) under Marmota monax (woodchuck). The record is from RNAcentral. Lineage: Eukaryota; Metazoa; Chordata; Mammalia; Rodentia; Sciuridae.
GCUGGGUGUGGUGGUUGCACACCUGUAGUCCCAGCUACUUUGGAGGCUGAGGCAGGAUUGCUCGAUCCCAGGAGUUCAGGGCCAGUCUGAGCAGCAUAGUCAGACCUGUCUCUU